RNAcentral lists this ribosomal RNA (441 nucleotides) under uncultured bacterium. RNAcentral's name for it is "partial 16S ribosomal RNA". It matches the Rfam family "Bacterial small subunit ribosomal RNA", at positions 338 to 795 of the family's 1533-position model. The record is from RNAcentral.
CCUACGGCGGGCAGCAGUGGGGGAUAUUGCACAAUGGGGGGAACCCUGAUGCAGCGACGCCGCGUGGGUGAAGGAGCGUUUCGGCGCGUAACGCCCUAUCGGCAGGGAAGAAGGAGGACGGUACCUGACUAAGAAGCCCCGGCUAACUACGUACCAGCAGCCGCGGUAAUACGUAGGGGGCAAGCGUUAUCCGGAUUUACUGGGUGUACAGGGGGCGCAGACGGCAGCGCAAGCCAGGAGUGAAAGCCCCGGGCCCAACCCCGGGACUGCUCUUGGAACUGCGAGGCUGGAGUGCAGGAGGGGCAGGCGGAAUUCCUGGUGUAGCGGUGAAAGGCGUAGAUAUCAGGAGGAACACCGGUGGCGAAGGCGGCCUGCUGGACUGCGACUGACGUUGAGGCCCGAAAGCGUGGGGAGCAAACAGGAUUAGAUACCCCAGUAGUC